Molecule: ribosomal RNA, 506 nt
Filed under: uncultured bacterium
Lineage: Bacteria
Description: bacterial SSU rRNA
Rfam family: Bacterial small subunit ribosomal RNA
Source: RNAcentral
GAUGAACGCUGGCGGCGUGCUUAACACAUGCAAGUCGAACGGGGUUAUUUUGGAAGCUAAGAAUAGCUUGCUAGGAAGAGUGGAAGAAAUAACUUAGUGGCGGACGGGUGAGUAACGCGUGAGGAUCUGUCCAUUGCAGGGGGACAACAGUUGGAAACGGCUGCUAAUACCGCAUACGCGUGUCGUAAGAUGCGUGAAAGGAAUUUAUUCCGGCAAUGGAGGAACUCGCGUCCUAUCAGCUAGUAGGUGAGGUAAGCGCUCACCUAGGCGAUGACGGGUAGCCGGCCUGAGAGGGCGCACGGCCACACUGGGACUGAGAUACGGCCCAGACUCCUACGGGAGGCAGCAGUGGGGAAUAUUGGGCAAUGGGCGAAAGCCUGACCCAGCGACGCCGCGUGAGUGAUGAAGUCUUUCGGGACGUAAAACUCUUUUGUACGGGAAGAAGGACGUGACGGUACCGUACGAAUAAGCCCCGGCAAACUACGUGCCAGCCGCCGCCGUAACAC